RNAcentral lists this ribosomal RNA (253 nucleotides) under uncultured bacterium. RNAcentral's name for it is "partial 16S ribosomal RNA". It matches the Rfam family "Bacterial small subunit ribosomal RNA", at positions 524 to 776 of the family's 1533-position model. The record is from RNAcentral.
UACGUAGGGUGCGAGCGUUGUCCGGAAUUACUGGGCGUAAAGGGCGCGUAGGCGGCCUGUUAAGUCGAACGUGAAAUCCCCGGGCUCAACCCGGGAACUGCGUCCGAUACUGGCAGGCUUGAAUCCGGGAGAGGGAUGCGGAAUUCCAGGUGUAGCGGUGAAAUGCGUAGAUAUCUGGAGGAACACCGGUGGCGAAGGCGGCAUCCUGGACCGGCAUUGACGCUGAGGCGCGAAAGCCAGGGGAGCAAACGGG